CUGAACGAUGAAGAAACAGGUGACGUUUGCUCAGGGCCGUACAGAGACGCAGCUGCAGAACCACAGGUUUUCUCUGCCAGCUGAGACCAAAUUGGUCAAAGAUGUGGAGUUUUGUCAGCAGAGACGGUACUCGACACCCAGUGACCGCAGAGCCACAGUGCACAUACCUCGGUGCUUGGCCACAGCUCCAUUUCUCAAGCACUCAGGCCUGACCCCGGC
This is a long non-coding RNA of Periophthalmus magnuspinnatus, 219 nucleotides long. RefSeq lists it as uncharacterized. Lineage: Eukaryota; Metazoa; Chordata; Actinopteri; Gobiiformes; Gobiidae. The record is from RefSeq and is a predicted model, not a curated record. The transcript has 4 exons.